AUAACAAAUAUGACUUGUCUGUAUUACCACUUUCAAAUGUCUCAAACGAUAUGAAGGAAAAAUUAUUAUUUGAAAAAAAAGAAAAGCUACUUUUAUACUUUUUAAAUGAAAAUAAUUCAAAUAAAUUAACUUUGGAAAUAAUACAAAAUUUAUAUUUCUUAUACAAACAUACAAACCAAAAACUGUUAUGGUUUAUUUAUUAUAUUAUUAUAAAAUAUAUAAAUUAUGUAAAUAAAACAACUAAGAGUGAUAUAAAUAAUUCUUUUUUAGUAAAGAAGCAUAUGCGAUGUUUAUUAAAAAAUGUUUUUUGUUGUGAAAAGAAAGACGAUAAUAAUUGUAACAUUCAUGUUAAUAAUUCAUUUAAUGACGUACAUCAUAAGUCUGAUAUACAAGACACUACUAAAAAAGAUAAUUAUUUGUUUUUAAUCAAUAAAGAAUAUUUAUAUAGAGACGAAUUUUUAUUUUUUUUUCUUCAAUUAAAUUUAUAUGAAACACAUUGCAUUUUUAAUAAUAGUGUAUAUUCUUUGAUAGAUUUAAAGUUUUCAAGUAGGGAUGAUAGUGAAAGGACUACAUAUAAAGUAGAUAUAUAUAAUGACAGUAAUAUGCCACAUAUGAGAGAGUUAAAAAUAAAAUACAGUAACAUUAUUACUAUUAUAAAAAAAAUUGCUUAUAUAAUUUCGAAUAUGCAGAUAUGUCAAACGUACAAAGAGACUAGUGGAAAUAACAUAUUUGUCAUUAUUAAUUAUUUAUUUACAACUAUUAAGAAAUUGAAUUUGCAGUAUGACAUUAAUUUAGAACAUAAAUUAUAUAUGAUUGAUGACAUUUUGUUUUUAACAAUAAAAAUAAUUCUGCUCUUUUACUUUAUUUCUUUUUAUUUGUUACCGUUUAUAUAUACCAAGAAUAGUACUAAUGAAAAGUAUGUAAAAUAUGAAAAAAAACAGAAAUAAUUUGGAAAAAAAUUAUUUAUUAUAUAUUAAAACGAUGAAUAGUAGAAAAAGGAAAGUCAUUGAGUCGAUUACGCAUGAUCAAAUUAGUAUGGAAAAAGUUGUACAAGGUGACCAUAAAGUUGGACACGCGUAUCAAUUAAUGAAUGAACAAACUGACAAAAGAAUUGAUGGUAAUGUAAAUGAA
This is a long non-coding RNA of Piliocolobus tephrosceles (Ugandan red Colobus), 1131 nucleotides long. The record is from Ensembl. NCBI's taxonomy places the organism in Eukaryota, Metazoa, Chordata, Mammalia, Primates, Cercopithecidae.